GAUGAACGCUAGCUACAGGCUUAACACAUGCAAGUCGAGGGGCAGCAUGAAAGUUUGCUUGCAAACUUUUGAUGGCGACCGGCGCACGGGUGAGUAACACGUAUCCAACCUGCCUCAUACUCGGGGAUAGCCUUUCGAAAGAAAGAUUAAUACCCGAUGUUAUAGUCCUACCGCAUGAUGGGAUUAUUAAAGAAUUUCGGUAUGGGAUGGGGAUGCGUUCCAUUAGUUAGUUGGCGGGGUAACGGCCCACCAAGACAACGAUGGAUAGGGGUUCUGAGAGGAAGGUCCCCCACAUUGGGACUGAGACACGGCCCAG
RNAcentral lists this ribosomal RNA (316 nucleotides) under uncultured bacterium. RNAcentral describes it as "bacterial SSU rRNA". It matches the Rfam family "Bacterial small subunit ribosomal RNA", at positions 28 to 334 of the family's 1533-position model. The record is from RNAcentral.